AACGAACGCUGGCGGCAGGCCUAACACAUGCAAGUCGAACGCCCCGCAAGGGGAGUGGCAGACGGGUGCGUAACACGUGGGAACAUACCCUUUGGUUCGGAAUAACUCAGGGAAACUUGAGCUAAUACCGGAUAAGUCCGCGAGGAGAAAGAUUCAUCGCCGAAGGAUUGGCCCGCGUCUGAUUAGCUAGUUGGUGAGGUAACGGCUCACCAAGGCGACGAUCAGUAGCUGGUCUGAGAGGAUGAUCAGCCACACUGGGACUGAGACACGGCCCAGACUCCUACGGGAGGCAGCAGUGGGGAAUAUUGGACAAUGGGCGAAAGCCUGAUCCAGCCAUGCCGCGUGAGUGAUGAAGGCCUUAGGGUUGUAAAGCUCUUUUACCCGGGAAGAUAAUGACGGUACCGGGAGAAUAAGCCCCGGCUAACUUCGUGCCAGCCGCCGCCGUAAAAC
RNAcentral lists this ribosomal RNA (450 nucleotides) under uncultured bacterium. RNAcentral describes it as "bacterial SSU rRNA". It matches the Rfam family "Bacterial small subunit ribosomal RNA", at positions 29 to 526 of the family's 1533-position model. The record is from RNAcentral.